This is a microRNA precursor of Oryza sativa Indica Group (long-grained rice), 175 nucleotides long. It matches the Rfam family "MIR807 microRNA precursor family". NCBI's taxonomy places the organism in Eukaryota, Viridiplantae, Streptophyta, Magnoliopsida, Poales, Poaceae. The record is from Rfam.
AACCACACUAUCAAUGAAUGGAUUCACCGCGAGAUGAUGUGACUAUUUCACCUAGGAUGAGGACAUGGCAUCCUAUUACCAGCCAUCGCACGAAAUUAAUAGGAUGCCACGUCCUCAUCCUAGAUGGAGCGACCACAUCAUCUCGCGGGUGAAUCCAUUCAUCGAUAGUGUGGUU